Cryptotermes secundus is the source of this 392-nucleotide long non-coding RNA. RefSeq lists it as uncharacterized. The transcript is spliced from 3 exons. The record is from RefSeq and is a predicted model, not a curated record. NCBI's taxonomy places the organism in Eukaryota, Metazoa, Arthropoda, Insecta, Blattodea, Kalotermitidae.
UUCAGUUGAUCUACGUGGUGCAACAGUUUGUUCAGGGGCCGGGGGCGGGGGGAAGAGGAGUGGCUCUGAUGGUUACAGGAUAAUUCUAUUCUUUACAGUGGCACUGCGAUUUCUACUUGUGAACAUCAGCCAUGUAUAAGGUGUAAGCAAUAACUGGCCAGAGACAAAGCAGGUAGCAAUGACUCCGGCCGUCAGUUUUCUGUCAUCAGCACAAGAUACCAACAGGUAAGUGGAGUUUGAGUGUAUAACCGAGUGGCGAAUAUUAAGAGCACGGCGCAGCUGCUACUGAGUCUCGUCUUCGCUUGUACCAGGAAAGGAGAACCUUGCUUCCGGGCGUGACAUUGGAAGAACAUCCAUGUAUCCAUCGAUGCCGCGAACGGGAUUCAAACUAG